Molecule: ribosomal RNA, 253 nt
Filed under: uncultured bacterium
Lineage: Bacteria
Description: partial 16S ribosomal RNA
Rfam family: Bacterial small subunit ribosomal RNA
Source: RNAcentral
UACGGAAGGUCCGGGCGUUAUCCGGAUUUAUUGGGUUUAAAGGGAGCGUAGGUGGACUGUCAAGUCAGUUGUGAAAUCCGCGGGCUCAACCUGCGGCCUGCAGUUGAAACUGGCGGUCUUGAGUCCGUUCAGGGAUGCUGGAAUUCAUGGUGUAGCGGUGAAAUGCUCAGAUAUCAUGAAGAACUCCAAUCGCGAAGGCAGGCAUCAGGGCCGGAACUGACACUGAGGCUCGAAAGUGCGGGUAUCAAACAGG